RNAcentral lists this ribosomal RNA (578 nucleotides) under uncultured bacterium. Its description in RNAcentral is "partial 16S ribosomal RNA". It matches the Rfam family "Bacterial small subunit ribosomal RNA", at positions 355 to 932 of the family's 1533-position model. The record is from RNAcentral.
UGGGGAAUUUUGGACAAUGGGCGAAAGCCUGAUCCAGCAAUGCCGCGUGUGUGAAGAAGGCCUUCGGGUUGUAAAGCACUUUUGUCCGGAAAGAAAUCCUUGGCUCUAAUACAGUCGGGGGAUGACGGUACCGGAAGAAUAAGCACCGGCUAACUACGUGCCAGCAGCCGCGGUAAUACGUAGGGUGCAAGCGUUAAUCGGAAUUACUGGGCGUAAAGCGUGCGCAGGCGGUUUGCUAAGACCGAUGUGAAAUCCCCGGGCUCAACCUGGGAACUGCAUUGGUGACUGGCAGGCUAGAGUAUGGCAGAGGGGGGUAGAAUUCCACGUGUAGCAGUGAAAUGCGUAGGGAUGUGGAGGAAUACCGAUGGCGAAGGCAGCCCCCUGGGCCAAUACUGACGCUCAUGCACGAAAGCGUGGGGAGCAAACAGGAUUAGAUACCCUGGUAGUCCACGCCCUAAACGAUGUCAACUAGUUGUUGGGGAUUCAUUCCUUAGUAACGUAGCUAACGCGUGAAGUUGACCGCCUGGGGAGUACGGUCGCAAGAUUAAAACUCAAAGGAAUUGACGGGGUCAUAGCUG